GGGGCUGUAGCUCAGUUGGGAGAGCACCUGCUUUGCAAGCAGGGGGUCGUCGGUUCGAUUCCGUCCAGCUCCA
Candidatus Nitrospira inopinata is the source of this 73-nucleotide transfer RNA. It matches the Rfam family "tRNA". Rfam says of the family: Transfer RNA (tRNA) molecules are approximately 80 nucleotides in length. The record is from Rfam. NCBI's taxonomy places the organism in Bacteria, Pseudomonadati, Nitrospirota, Nitrospiria, Nitrospirales, Nitrospiraceae.